UCAUCAAAAAUCUCACGAAAAAUAAAUCACAAAAAAAUAAGGAAUUUAUUUUAAAAAAUACCAAUUAAAUAACUGAAAGUUUAAAAAUAAUUAAACAAUAUUUAAGCCCGGCAAGACGCCAUUAAUCGAAUCGAGUGGUCGAGACGCGGCGUCGAAUGCGUCGCACAACACCGAUCCGUCAGUACGUCCGCAAAAAUUAAUAUCUAUGAAAGCAAUUGAUAUAGCGAAAAAAGCAGAUAAAAUAAAUAUUAGGUGAGAAAGAAAAAUAGAGACGCUAUGGCAACUCAAUGUACUUACCUCCGGAACUUCGUGUGGUAUGUAAUAAAGACAAAGGCGGCUGCCGGUGCGCGCGUCGUGGCGUCGGCGUUAGGCACACUGAGAAGUGUUUCGAGUUGCACUACAGCGACUACUGGCCACGGACUCCGUUUCUAUGUAUAUGGAUCCGUAUGUUACAUUCUGCUUGCUCAAGCUACCACCACUUGCCCUAUUCCCACUCUUCCAAUUAUUAUCCUUCUCUCUUCCUCCUAUUUUCUCUUUCACUUCCUCGCUCUUUCAAUCCAUAAGUAUUUCCCCUACUGUUUCCCUCAUUUUUAUUCCUUCUCUCUUUCUCCUGUGACAUUUUUGUUUUAUUAUCCAGCUCAUUAAAUUUUUUUUUUUUAUUUUAUUUCUUUCAACUAGAAUAUUUGUUUUCAAUGCCAGAGGUUCCCGCCAAAAAAUCUCGUUAUUUUCUACGGCUCCGAUCGAUCGAAGCAGGAAGCUUCACCUUGCUUCAUAUCUCUUAUUGGUUAUAAA
Molecule: long non-coding RNA, 792 nt
Organism: Cotesia glomerata
Lineage: Eukaryota; Metazoa; Arthropoda; Insecta; Hymenoptera; Braconidae
Exons: 3
Source: RefSeq, a predicted model, not a curated record